GUAGUCACAUAGAUCAAUUUUAUUGACUUAGUAAUAGAGAAAACAGAGAGUAUCGGAAGCAUGCAAAGGGUCAACUAAAAGGCCCUUCUGAAAAAGUAUAGUUAAGUUUCAAUGAUAGCAAGAAACCAAAAUCACAUAAAGAAACGGAUGCUGAAACAAAAGGAUUUCAAAUGAAGUCGAGGAACUUCAAACAGAAGGAUUGCACAAGCAUUUUCAGAAACUCGAAUAGACCCCAAAGAAAUUUUGAAACCAAUCAAGUCUAAAGAUGAUGAACAAGCAAAUCAAACAAAUAAGUAGUCCCAGG
This 304-nucleotide long non-coding RNA is filed under the name Nicotiana benthamiana. Its description in RNAcentral is "long non-coding RNA (NBEN_LNC019003)". The record is from RNAcentral. Lineage: Eukaryota; Viridiplantae; Streptophyta; Magnoliopsida; Solanales; Solanaceae.